UACGUAGGGGGCGAGCGUUGUCCGGAAUUAUUGGGCGUAAAGGGCGCGUAGGCGGCCCCGUAAGUCGAAUGUGAAAUCCCAGGGCUCAACCCUGGAACUGCAUCCGAUACUGCGGGGCUUGAGGCAGGUAGAGGAGAGUGGAAUUCCCGGUGUAGCGGUGGAAUGCGCAGAUAUCGGGAGGAACACCAGUUGCGAAGGCGGCUCUCUGGGCCUGACCUGACGCUGAGGCGCGAAAGCGUGGGGAGCGAACAGG
RNAcentral lists this unclassified non-coding RNA (253 nucleotides) under uncultured Nitriliruptoraceae bacterium. RNAcentral's name for it is "contains 16S-23S intergenic spacer region". It matches the Rfam family "Bacterial small subunit ribosomal RNA", at positions 524 to 776 of the family's 1533-position model. Lineage: Bacteria; Bacillati; Actinomycetota; Nitriliruptoria; Nitriliruptorales; Nitriliruptoraceae. The record is from RNAcentral.